GUUUAUAGAGCUUUUAUAGUAUAAUAUUGAAGAUAUUGUGUUUUUAUAAACA
Molecule: transfer RNA, 52 nt
Filed under: Paratemnoides elongatus
Lineage: Eukaryota; Metazoa; Arthropoda; Arachnida; Pseudoscorpiones; Atemnidae
Description: tRNA-Phe
Source: RNAcentral